This 338-nucleotide ribosomal RNA is filed under the name uncultured soil bacterium. Its description in RNAcentral is "bacterial SSU rRNA". It matches the Rfam family "Bacterial small subunit ribosomal RNA", at positions 26 to 391 of the family's 1533-position model. The record is from RNAcentral.
AGAACGAACGCUGGCGGCAUGCCUAAUACAUGCAAGUCGAACGAACUCUUCGGAGUUAGUGGCGCACGGGUGCGUAACGCGUGGGAAUCUGCCCUUGGGUUCGGAAUAACAGUUGGAAACGACUGCUAAUACCGGAUGAUGACGAAAGUCCAAAGAUUUAUCGCCCAGGGAUGAGCCCGCGUAGGAUUAGCUAGUUGGUGAGGUAAAGGCUCACCAAGGCGACGAUCCUUAGCUGGUCUGAGAGGAUGAUCAGCCACACUGGGACUGAGACACGGCCCAGACUCCUACGGGACGGCAGCAGUAGGGAAUAUUGGACAAUGGGCGAAAGCCUGAUCCAG